Molecule: long non-coding RNA, 244 nt
Organism: Arabidopsis thaliana (thale cress)
Lineage: Eukaryota; Viridiplantae; Streptophyta; Magnoliopsida; Brassicales; Brassicaceae
Product: other RNA
Exons: 1
Source: RefSeq
AUUGCUUUGAUCAUAUUGUAUCCUAUUUAGAUCUGGUAUCAUCAGUUGCUCAGGUUUAGUUGUCUCUUUCGUUUGGACUUAAGCUUCUCUUCCUCGAUUAUAUUAUUUUGUUAGUUUGGAGUUGAGCUCUUUGGUUAUGUCUAGUAUCUAUCUCAUUUAGUAUUAACUAUUAAGCGAUGUUUGGCUUAAUUACUUAUUCGUUGUGGCGUUGAAAGGUUUAAGUGGGUCUCGAUUAUCUUACGGU